UACGGAGGGGGCUAGCGUUGUUCGGAAUUACUGGGCGUAAAGCGCACGUAGGCGGCUUGGCAAGUCGGAUGUGAAAUCCCUCGGCUCAACCAAGGAAGUGCAUCCGAAACUGCCGAGCUUGAGUACUUAAGAGGAUCGCGGAAUUCCCGGUGUAGAGGUGAAAUUCGUAGAUAUCGGGAGGAACACCAGUGGCGAAGGCGGCGAUCUGGGAAGAUAGUGACGCUGAGGUGCGAAAGCGUGGGGAGCAAACGGG
This 253-nucleotide ribosomal RNA is filed under the name uncultured bacterium. RNAcentral describes it as "partial 16S ribosomal RNA". It matches the Rfam family "Bacterial small subunit ribosomal RNA", at positions 524 to 776 of the family's 1533-position model. The record is from RNAcentral.